UCCCCUCUGUCCUACCCGGAUCCACCAAC
Molecule: small RNA, 29 nt
Filed under: Bombyx mori (domestic silkworm)
Lineage: Eukaryota; Metazoa; Arthropoda; Insecta; Lepidoptera; Bombycidae
Description: ovarian small RNA-27249
Source: RNAcentral